Molecule: small RNA, 133 nt
Filed under: Klebsiella ornithinolytica
Lineage: Bacteria; Pseudomonadati; Pseudomonadota; Gammaproteobacteria; Enterobacterales; Enterobacteriaceae
Description: Enterobacteria sRNA STnc130
Rfam family: Enterobacteria sRNA STnc130
Source: RNAcentral
UAUAACGAAUUUAAUAUUUUAUAGUUUUUUAUGCUGCGUUAACACCAAGGGAGUAUGGGGGGAAUCACCGGGGGGAUUAUUGCCCGGCAUCAAUAAGGGGAUAAAAAAAAAGCGCCCGGAGGCGCUUUUGAGA